CUGCAACAACAACCUGCACACGAACAGAAGCUACGACUGCUUGCCUGCUACUUCUCAAAAGAAAUUUAAAUGGUUCAAAAGCCCAUCUAGCAGAAAAACUAAUGCAAGAUAGAUGUGGAGUUUAUAUCGGAGAGUCGUUCAACAGAUGGACGGAGCUUCGUGAGCUCAACUGCAGAACAGAUGAAGAGUUGGCAACGUUUCUUAUGUACAGGUAAAUGCAUGACACUUUGAAGUAUUCAUGGCGACAAUUUGUUGAAUUUAGUGCGUCCGUCGUGAUUAGGCUUUUUGCAAAUUCUAAGCGCUAAUACGCUAGCUAACUAUGAACUGUUUGCAUCGCGUUAUAAAGCUAUAAGGUUAGCCUACUGUAAACAAUGACACUGGUCACCACGGAUGUUUUUCACAACGUUACACGCACGUGUCUUGACUAUGUAUAUUUCUGUGCAUACUGGCAUUACAUCAAAUGUAGCAUUGAGAUUUGGAGACGUGCAGACAUGCAGUAGGUCUAAUGCCAAACUCUAAAUGUAGUGCUAACAUCUGAUGUUUAUUGUAUGAUAAAUGAUUGAAGGCCAGCGGGCUACAUAUGUUUUUUGAAGGAAAUGCGAUUAAAAAUAUAGCUUACUCUGUAAGAAUUUUUAAUUAGAAAUGAACAAUGUUGUUACAUUUUGUGUAAAUAUGUAUAACUAUGUUUCCAGUUACCAAACCGGAUCAGGGGCUACAACAUCUACUCCUAUAUAUAAAAAAACAACUAUUUCCUGCUGUGCCAACACUAUCGAGCAUCCACGGGGACUUAUCUGAGAGAGAUACCAAUUUUGAACAGGGACUGAACGUCUUGGAGCAAGAGGAAGCCCUUUCUUCAAGAACUGCAGAGUAAGUAAAACAUGUUUAUUAUCUGUGUAGUUGUCACACUGGUCAUUGACAAUGAAAUUAAAAUGUUGUUUUUUGUUUAGUUUACCAUCAGUUGGUUUUCCUGAGGAGGAGUACAACCACACUGUGAGGAUUUGAGCUUGUGUUUACAAAAACAAGUUUAAACCAAAACUUGUGUACAUAAUGCUAAUUUAUAAUGCUAAUGUUUACACACUGUGUUCACAGGACAGGGGCCUCUCUGAGAAGGAAAACAGAUCUGAAUGACCUUCAGUACAUCAGUGAGCAGGACACAGGGAGAGGUCCACAUUACAGAAGUGUUUACUGAUGCCCACUCACAGAUUUCUGCUCUUUCAGUAAGUGUCACCGUAUUUAUGUUAUGAAACUUGUAAUUGGACACAUCUAAAGCAAUUAUAGUUUUAAUUUUUGAAUGUAUAAACCUGACACAGGAAAUGGGAUAUACAAAGACAGAGGUGUGGAGCACACAUGAUAUGUAGCAUGGGUCUAAGAACUUGGGCAAAAAGCUACAUGCAGUAAGUAAAAUUGUGAGCUUUGUAAAAGAUGCUUAUUGUGCAUUUAUACUG
Molecule: long non-coding RNA, 1445 nt
Filed under: Neogobius melanostomus (round goby)
Lineage: Eukaryota; Metazoa; Chordata; Actinopteri; Gobiiformes; Gobiidae
Description: lncRNA (ENSNMLG00000021441.1)
Source: RNAcentral